Molecule: ribosomal RNA, 433 nt
Filed under: uncultured bacterium
Lineage: Bacteria
Description: partial 16S ribosomal RNA
Rfam family: Bacterial small subunit ribosomal RNA
Source: RNAcentral
AACGAACGCUGGCGGCAUGCCUAACACAUGCAAGUCGAACGAUCCCUUCGGGUAUAGUGGCGCACGGGUGCGUAACGCGUGGGAACCUGCCCUUAGGUUCGGAAUAACUCAGAGAAAUUUGAGCUAAUACCGGAUAAUGUCUUCGGACCAAAGAUUUAUCGCCUUUGGAUGGGCCCGCGUUGGAUUAGCUAGUUGGUGGGGUAAAGGCCUACCAAGGCGACGAUCCAUAGCUGGUCUGAGAGGAUGAUCAGCCACACUGGGACUGAGACACGGCCCAGACUCCUACGGGAGGCAGCAGUGGGGAAUAUUGGACAAUGGGCGAAAGCCUGAUCCAGCAAUGCCGCGUGAGUGAUGAAGGCCUUAGGGUUGUAAAGCUCUUUUACCCGGGAUGAUAAUGACAGUACCGGGAGAAUAAGCCCCGGCUAACUCCGUG